Enterocytozoon bieneusi H348 is the source of this 82-nucleotide transfer RNA. It matches the Rfam family "tRNA". Rfam says of the family: Transfer RNA (tRNA) molecules are approximately 80 nucleotides in length. The record is from Rfam. NCBI's taxonomy places the organism in Eukaryota, Fungi, Microsporidia, Enterocytozoonidae.
GAUUGAGUGGCCGAGUGGUCUAAGGCGCUACCUUAAGGCGGUAGUCUAGCAAUAGGCGCGAGUUCGAAUCUCGUCUCAAUCA